Long non-coding RNA from Stegostoma tigrinum, 4103 nucleotides. RefSeq lists it as uncharacterized. The transcript has 3 exons. The record is from RefSeq and is a predicted model, not a curated record. NCBI's taxonomy places the organism in Eukaryota, Metazoa, Chordata, Chondrichthyes, Orectolobiformes, Stegostomatidae.
UCUCCUCUCUAAGGAGGCAUUACAACAGACGGCUGCUGAACUUGCUUGGCCCAUAAAUCUGUGUCGAAUGGAUCAAAAAUUUAAUCAAAAGGAGCAUGAAAGCCACAGUAUUGGUGCUAUAUCUGGCAAUCAUGAUUGUGGAAGGAACUGAUUGAGGGUCCCACUUCUAUAAGAACUUGAGAUGUCUCUUGCAAUCAGCUGUAUGGAAAGUUAAGUUCCACCGUUAACUAAUUAAUAUGCAUAAGGAAUAGUUGGACAAUAAGGAAUGGGGAACAGCAAAUGCCUGAAAUCACAAAGCAAUGAGGUUCCCUUUAGAUGUAAAACUGUUAUGUAUAAAUCUAGCAUCAGAAUUAUCCACUGUAGUUUAAAUGCUAUCAUCCCCAUUAUAUCUGUAUGGAGUUACUUGUGAUGAAUUAAUUAUUAUCAAUUUAUUCAUUUUCCGAUUGUGUAGCCAGUGAAGCUGACUGCAGGCUCACAUUGUUGAUAAUCUGUUCAGUGUUUGUAGUCCGAAUAAGACUAAUUACUAAACUUCAUUAAGUGUACAUGAGUACUUUCGGUAACUGAAUUACACUGCUCGAGUCAACAAUUCAAUCAUAACAUUUAUUUUAAAGAAAAUUGUAUUGCUAGAAUAAUUGCGUACAGAUUCAGUCAGUAUUUAUUAAUGAAUUACAGUUAUUAGCCAUAACAAUGUUAUUAACUUAUAAAUGAUAAUGAGCAAAGCAAUGUUUAAACAGAAUUUUAAGUCAAUUUGAACAUGACCAACAUUAAAUCAAAACACUUCACAACAUAGGGACAGUGGAAGAUAUGAAAUGAUCGAAGGACCUUGGUACCCAAGAAUGAUACCCUAUAGGAAUUUCCUACUAUCGGCCAGGUGCAGAGAACAAUGUUUAUCUAUAUUACUUAGGGAUAGGGAUAGGUGUCACAUAUGAUUUAAGCAUCAGCCUAAACUGUACCCUUGAAAUUUUCAGUGAUCACCAUGAAUUAAUUCAGAUGGCACACCGUGGAGAAUGACUGCAAGCAAGUCUCAAUAACAGUGUGUACCAACAGGAUGUCCACCAACUCUGCGAAGAUAUAGCCUGAUCUGCUAAUGCCACCUCCUUGACCACUGAGGAUGAGAGUACCAAGGCCUCGGCAAGGCUGCUAUCUUGAUGCUUGCCAGCUCUGAUACUGACAUCUUGCAGUAAAUGUUAGCCUUAGGACAUUUGGGAGCAGAAGCUGGCGAGCACCUCACUGUGACAGUUCUGCAGCUGGUCGAGGAAGAAAUGUCCCAAGCUGCUGACACUCCUAGGACAGCUGGAGGUCAGGCACCUCCUCAGGUCCUGGCAGAAGACGACCCAGUGGGUUGAACAUCCGGGACUUUGUCCAGCUGCACAGGGAGGAGCACAGGAGUGGCAGAUAGGUGUAUGGGAGAUGACGGCCUUCAUUGCCCAGCAGCACAGGAGUUCCCCUACACAAUGGGGAACCAGUUGUCCCGGGGUUGUAACUGUUGGGCUGCCCCCAUGGACAGGUUGUUGACUGACAUGGAGAACCAGGUCCAGCUUCAGGGGCUGCUGGAGAGGCGCGCACACUUGUACUCCAUUGCCCCAGCUGCUGGUCUUCAGGGCUGAAGGAAUAGCAACUGGGCAUGGAGAACCUGGUCCAUAUUCCAUGUGUCCCUCCUCACAAGGAGCCACGGCAAUGCCAGAAGAUACCUGCCUAGCCCCUGAGCAGAGUCCUCUCAGGGCACUCCAGACGUAGCUAUGCCCUCCACCCUACUUUCAAAGAUGUUAAUCUUCUGCCAUUAAGUGUGCCAUUUCAAUUAUGUGAUAUUCUUCUGCAUCAAGAACCUCUGCAGCAUCCCAGAUUAUGGCUGCUGGCUGUCAACACCAAUUAUUUAAAUUUUGGAGGACAAAUUUGGCAGAAUAACAAGUGCCUUGGAUGUUUGGGUUUGAAGUAACAGGGUUGCGAUUGUCAUAAUGCAGAAUAUACACAAGCUGUCGACAAUUCAGGAUGCUGAGCUAUUUUUGUUCAAUGCUUCCCUAUGUUCAGCAAUUUGUUUUCAGAGAUGUAUUACAUUUAUUUAACUUAGAAGAAUUAUGGAGAAUUGCAUAUUCAUUUUACCUUUGCUGCUUGUGCAAAUAAAUGGUAUUCACAGAGCGCCAAAUAAUCGAUAAUAUAAAUUUUAAUAAGCUUCACUCGUUGUAUAAAUGUGUUAAAUUUUAGAUUGGAUUGUACUACAUGCAGUUUUCAGCAAAAGAAGUUUUUUGCUUUUGGGGAGGUGCCUACAAAGUUGCAAUGUAUUCUUGUAAAAGUAUAUAUAUUUAUUUAUACAAGAGAUGUGAACGUCACUGGCAAAUCUAGCACUUAUUGCCAUUCCAUUGAUCAUUCCAUUAUACUAUAUCCUGCACAAGUGACAGAUUCAAGCUGUUUUAGGAUGUCAAAGAGCCUGUAUACAAUCUCUUGCAAGCAGCAAAUAUUCUAUCCUGCCACAUUACACUGAUUAAACAACCGUGCUUAAAUUUCUGUAGAAAAUUAAACAAUUAGUCAUUCCAGUGAAAGCUCAAAGAAUUCCCAACCUUUAAGCUCCGGAAAACCAGUUCCUUUUGGGUUCAUACUUAUUAGUUGUUGGUUUGUUUUAUGGGCUUGGAAUGUUCGGAGAGACCUUAUUUUUAAACACUUUUGUCUCAAUGGUUGAUAAUUCCAAACUAAAAUCUUAAAAUUUGUUACAUUAUUAUGCAAAUUACUUAAAAUAUAGAUUUCUACUGAGUUCUUGUGUGUCAGUGGUAUGUAUCUUUGCAUUCCAUGAUGAUUAAAAUUUAGACAGCCCUACUCUACAAUAGCCAUUCACAGCAAUUCCAGACUGGAUUGUUGGAAGAUGUUGAAUCGAUAAAAAUACAUGGCUAACAAUCCCAAAGCAACGAAUCUAACUCUGGCUUAGCACUGUAUCUGUCUUCAGCUUUGACCAUGAAAUGUUUUUUUUCCACUGCUUUGUUGUAACUAAUUUAAGAGCUAUCGAAUAUCAGAGUCAACAAGUUCACUUAAAGUAUUUACCAAAUCUGUUUGAUUUUUCUAAUUGGACAACAAGUAUUGUUUUAAAUUUUAAGACUAUUGAUCACGAAGAAGGAUAUUAACAUUGCAUGUGAUAUGUACAUUUUUCACUAGAAAUUCAUCGGAAGGUUCUCCAAGACAAAGUGGGAUAAGACUACUUUCUCCAGGGAGUUUCUCACCUCCUUACUUAUAUGAAGGGUCAGGCCCUAACUCUAUAUUUAGGCUGUAGUAACACAAUAAUUGUGAAACAUCUUAGCAGAGUAACUGCAGACUUGUGCUCCAAACUACCAUUGCUCGUAGCCAACUUAUUCUAGUACAGCAACAAUGCAUCUACCCAGUAGUGCGCAAAUUGUUUGUGGGUACAGUUAUGAGGUUUGAAAGAUUAUUAUAUUUUAUGACCGCUGCUUUAAAUUUGAAGUAAAUGAAGAGGGUCAUGUGAUCUAUGCUGAAGUCUGCCUAAUGGUAAACUUAGCAAUUUGAUUGUUUGAUAUCAAUGGAGGCUUACGUUAGUUUACAAUGAGAAGGUAAAACAUAUUUGCACACAGAGGAAAUGGUAGUUCCUGAGCCUACAAUGAGUAGAAUCUCAAAGUCCCACAAAGUUGUUAAAGAUACUGAGCUGUCAACACUUGUGCUGUAAACAAUCCAUUUACUUCAAACAUUACAGCGAGUUGGGAUCAAAGAUAGGUAAUUAGCAUUUCUACCUCAAUGUAGGGUAAUGUAUUUUGGGGGAGGCAAUGGCUUAGUGCUAUUCUCACUGGAAUAUUAAGUCAGAGACCAAGGCAAUGGGGACUCGGGUUCAAAUCCUGCCAUGGCAGAUGAUGGAAUUUAAAUUCAGUCUGGAAUUAAGAAUCUAAAUGACGAUCAUUAAUCCAUUAUCAUUUAUCAGAAAACCCACCUGGUUCACUAAUGCCCUUGAGGGAAGGAAACUGCCAUCCUUACUUGGUCUAGACUUCAUGUGGCUCCAGACCCACAGCAAUGAGGCUGACUCUUAACUGCUUUCUGGGCAAUUAGGCCUAGCCAAUGAUGCCCACAUCCCACGAAUGAAUAAAAAAUAUUGUCAUUGAAACGAGGUUUCA